GCUUACAGCCAUAUCACGUUGAAAGCAUCGGUUCUCGUCUGAUCACCGAAGUUAAGCAACGUCGAGCCUAGUCAGUACUUUGAUGGGUGACCACUUGGGAAACCUAGGGGCAGAAAGCA
This 119-nucleotide ribosomal RNA is filed under the name Octopus vulgaris (common octopus). The record is from RNAcentral. Lineage: Eukaryota; Metazoa; Mollusca; Cephalopoda; Octopoda; Octopodidae. RNAcentral also lists the same sequence under 1 other name.